UUUUAGCCCCGAUUGUAGUGAAAAUCCUUGUGGACUGGGGUUCAGUCCACAAGAUUGUAACGGAAAGCGGGACUAAUG
RNAcentral lists this small RNA (78 nucleotides) under Flavobacterium aquicola. RNAcentral describes it as "Flavo-1 RNA". It matches the Rfam family "Flavo-1 RNA". The record is from RNAcentral. Lineage: Bacteria; Pseudomonadati; Bacteroidota; Flavobacteriia; Flavobacteriales; Flavobacteriaceae.